AAGAGAAUCCCAUGUGUUUGUAAAUCAAUUUGGUGGCUUAAAAUGAUUGAAACCCCACAUUUUGAAAUCCUCAAGAAAAAAAAGUGCAAAGGUGGGGGGAAGUUUGGAUUUGAUGAACAAGUAUAUAGGCCUUGUAGAAGUGCAUUCUUUUGGUCCACUUGAAUUCAGAACUAUGAAGUCAUCAUAAUACCCAAUGAAGAGUGAAGAAUAUCAAAGGCAUGCAGUUCCAUGAUCAAGAAUUGUUCCUCCGGUGUGAUAUUGCCUCUCCGAACGUCCGGUCGAAGAUAGUUUAACCAUCGGAGCCGGCAACUCUUCCCGGUACGUUUCAACCCUAGAAGAAGUUUUAUCAUUAGGGUUACCAUAUAUCAAUAUCAAAGCAUUACUACUAUAUAUUGAAUGAAAAUUUUAAAAUAAAAAAAAAUCUCUUUCAUAGAUUACUUAAUUAUAUGAUCAAAAAAUAUUGUUUAUUCAUAAUUUUUUUGAAAACUCAAAAUAUAUGUAUAGAAUGAGGAAUUACCUGCA
Gossypium arboreum is the source of this 522-nucleotide long non-coding RNA. RefSeq lists it as uncharacterized. The record is from RefSeq and is a predicted model, not a curated record. NCBI's taxonomy places the organism in Eukaryota, Viridiplantae, Streptophyta, Magnoliopsida, Malvales, Malvaceae. The transcript has 2 exons.